Molecule: unclassified non-coding RNA, 204 nt
Filed under: soil metagenome
Description: partial contains 5.8S ribosomal RNA, internal transcribed spacer 2, and large subunit ribosomal RNA
Source: RNAcentral
AACCUUAUGGACCUGCGGGCGUAUACCUGCGGAAGGAUCAUUACCUAGAGUUGUAGGCUUUGCCUGCUAUCUCUUACCCAUGUCUUUUGAGUACCUUACGUUUCCUCGGUGGGUUCGCCCGCCGGUUGGACAAAACUUAAACCCUUUGUAGUUGCAAUCAGCGUCUGAAAAAACUUAAUAGUUACAACUUUCAACAAUGGAUCU